Non-coding RNA from Octopus bimaculoides (California two-spot octopus), 74 nucleotides. NCBI's taxonomy places the organism in Eukaryota, Metazoa, Mollusca, Cephalopoda, Octopoda, Octopodidae. The record is from Rfam.
GCCCCAAUAGCUCAGAGGUUUAGAGCACUGGUCUCGUAAACCAGGGGUCGUGAGUUCGAAUCUCACUUGGGGCA